Molecule: non-coding RNA, 429 nt
Organism: Carlito syrichta (Philippine tarsier)
Lineage: Eukaryota; Metazoa; Chordata; Mammalia; Primates; Tarsiidae
Source: the annotation of a RefSeq genome assembly
GAGCUCUGCAGAAUAAAAAUGGAGAAGCAUCUGAGGAUCUGCCUGGUGGUUUUGUGGCUUUAUUUUUGUAGGGUGAGUGGCAAAAACCAAGUGGAGCAGAGUCCUCAAUCCCUGAUCACCCUGGAGGGAGACAACUGCACUCUUCAAUGCAAUUAUACAGUGAGCCCCUUUAACAACUUAAGGUGGUACAGACAAGAUACUGAGAGUGGUCCUGUUCUCUUGACCGUCAUGUUUUCUGGUGAGAAUACAAAGUCGAAUGGAAGGUACACAGCAACUCUGGAUGCCAGCGUCAAGCGAAGCUCUCUGCACCUCACAGCCUCUCAGCUCAGCGAUUCAGCAUCCUACAUCUGUGUGGUGGGCGCACUGUGCUCCCCAGGCACUUGCAGCCAGUGCCCAAACCUGCACCUGGAGGCUGUUAAGGAAGCUUAG